This 235-nucleotide long non-coding RNA is filed under the name Elaeis guineensis (African oil palm). RNAcentral's name for it is "long non-coding RNA (EGUI_LNC040450)". The record is from RNAcentral. Lineage: Eukaryota; Viridiplantae; Streptophyta; Magnoliopsida; Arecales; Arecaceae.
CUAUUUUCUUGUAGUGUUGACUCAGCUAAAGGUCGACUCAUCUCAUCUAGGGUUGACUCAUGAAGCACUAUGUCUCAGGAUCGCUCUCUGUCUUUUAACAUAGCCAUUCAAGGAUCAACUCGGCUGAAGUUGAGGUCAACUGAUCCCAAGCGAAGCUCAACUCAUAAAGUGCUGUAGUCAAUUCAAGAAUAAACCACUUUUCAUGACUCUUUAUCUUUAUCCUGAGACCGUUCUA